CCCCGCACAAGCAGCGGAGCGUGUGGUUUAAUUCGAUGCUACACGAAGAACCUUACCAGGGUUUGACAUGCAAGUGGUAGGAAGCCGAAAGGUGACCGACCCUUCGGGGAGCUUGCACAGGUGCUGCAUGGCUGUCGUCAGCUCGUGUCGUGAGAUGUUCGGUUAAGUCCGCUAACGAGCGCAACCCUCGCUGUGUGUUAUAUGUGUCACACGGGACUGCCGGUCUUAAGCCGGAGGAAGGUGGGGAUGACGUCAAGUCAGCAUGGCCUUUAUGUCCUGGGCUACACACACGCUACAAUGGCCAACACAAUAGGUUGCUAAGCCGCGAGGUGGAGCCAAUCCUCAAAGUUGGUCUCAGUUCAGAUUGCAGGCUGCAACCCGCCUGCAUGAAGAUGGAGUUGCUAGUAACCGCAGGUCAGCUAUACUGCGGUGAAUACGUUCCCGGGGCUU
Molecule: ribosomal RNA, 450 nt
Filed under: uncultured Leptolinea sp.
Lineage: Bacteria; Bacillati; Chloroflexota; Anaerolineae; Anaerolineales; Anaerolineaceae
Description: bacterial SSU rRNA
Rfam family: Bacterial small subunit ribosomal RNA
Source: RNAcentral